RNAcentral lists this ribosomal RNA (471 nucleotides) under uncultured bacterium. RNAcentral's name for it is "bacterial SSU rRNA". It matches the Rfam family "Bacterial small subunit ribosomal RNA", at positions 329 to 793 of the family's 1533-position model. The record is from RNAcentral.
CGCUAUCAUCCUACGGGAGGCAGCAGUGGGGAAUAUUGCACAAUGGGCGCAAGCCUGAUGCAGCCAUGCCGCGUGUAUGAUGAAGGCCUUCGGGUUGUAAAGUACUUUCAGCAGUGAGGAAGGCGGGUACGUUAAUAGCGUGCUUGUUUGACGUUAGCUGCAGAAGAAGCACCGGCUAACUCCGUGCCAGCAGCCGCGGUAAUACGGAGGGUGCGAGCGUUAAUCGGAAUUACUGGGCGUAAAGCGCAUGCAGGUGGUUUGUUAAGUCAGAUGUGAAAGCCCGGGGCUCAACCUCGGAAUUGCAUUUGAAACUGGCAGACUAGAGUACUGUAGAGGGGGUAGAAUUUCAGGUGUAGCGGUGAAAUGCGUAGAGAUCUGAAGGAAUACCAGUGGCGAAGGCGGCCCCCUGGACAAAGACUGACGCUCAGAUGCGAAAGCGUGGGGAGCAAACAGGAUUAGAUACCCUGGUAG